AUCAGAGUUGGGUGUGUGUAAGCAGUGCGUUCAUGAAAUUGCAAAGUUUUGAACGUGCUCUGCAGAAAGUCACACGCGGGAUUACUGAUUUGGAUUUGCCUUAAAUUGCAGGUUUGAUGUUCAAGGACAACACAGAGUGGCCAUCAGAGAACACUGGGUCAAAUUCUACGAUUUCAAAACUGUGAUCGGACGUAUUGCAUGGAGAGGAGUUGGGGGUAUUGUCCGGGGAGCGGGAAUUGGGGAGUGCUAGGUGUACAUCAUCGCCAUCUGAUCCGGGCAAGGUGGCGGCAGUAAAUGCCUUUGGCAGGCAAUCCUUUAGAUUUGAGAUUGUGUCGUCGCUAACAUAAGGAGUCUUGGCUUUUUUGAGCAUCCAACCCGUUUGUGCGACUAGUGUGGGCUGUAGCAGUUAAGUGUGGCGACAAUGGCGUGUUUUGGAAGAGGAUGGGUAGUUUAAGCAUGAAUCACAUAUAUAUAUGUGGUGAUUGAGGAGCAAGGCGUAUCUGUUAAAAUGCGUACCUUACUGAAUAUCUGACUGGGACUGUGAGUAUUCUUUGGGAGUGGCUCAACGUUUAUGUAUGUGUCGACUGCGGGGGUGCAUUGUGCGAGGAUUAAAUUAUCAUUGAACACGAUUGGAGACUGGAUGGCAUUAUCAAAAAUGGAAUGAAAACUGGAUUUACGUACAGAGUUACAUUUAAACGUAUUUUGAUAUUGAUCAUCUUCCAUGUUAUUAUAAGUGUUAACAAAAGCAGGAUCAGAAAUGUUUUCACAAAUAGUAUAAGAAUGUUUGUUAUUUGUAACAAAUUGUUUUGUGUUUACAAAUAUAUUGUCAGUGACACUGGACGAUAAAACAUUGUCAAAACGGGCUUUUGCAAUAUGCGGAUUGACUGUCCCGGUGUUUUCCUAGCACCUUAUACUGUUCACUGGUGGGGAGUUUGGUGGGUCGCCAUGAGUCGCCUCCUCAUCAGACAUGUUUCCAUCAUUGCCCGUUAAAGUCACAUAUAAUGGCAGCGUUUGCUUGGGUUUGGAUGAUCCCUUUCCGCGAGGCGAGGUUGGUGCUGAUCUUGGUCUCGGCGGAGCGGUUGGAUUCUGCAUUUUAAUGGUCAGGUCUACUGGCUGUUGUCUAAACCUUUCGUCUGCGAGUUGUAUGGGUGAUUUGUUUGCAUGUGUUUGAGAAUUCAUUUGGGCGGGUCGUGUAGGUUGUGUGGCGGUAUGU
Dreissena polymorpha is the source of this 1213-nucleotide long non-coding RNA. RefSeq lists it as uncharacterized. The transcript is spliced from 3 exons. Lineage: Eukaryota; Metazoa; Mollusca; Bivalvia; Myida; Dreissenidae. The record is from RefSeq and is a predicted model, not a curated record.